GAGUGGGGCGCGGGAGUGACGUCAUGUAAAGGCGACUGUUUACUUCGCUGUCACUCGUGUUGUGUUAAAAUAAGCGGAACCAGCGUGUCCAAAAGAAAGAUAUUUUGUCUUGUCAUAUAGUUACUUUAGACGUCCUACACAUCGUACGCUACGCAGGUUUUACCGAGAAGUGAGUGGAGAGUCGCAUCUGACAGCAUUUGUUUAGCACGUAGCACUACAACUGACGCCGUCACGCUAAUGUUGUUAGAAAGCCCUUAAUUUUAUAUGUUGGUGUCUUGUGCUCCACUGAUAUUGUUUAGCUUUAGGCGAUGUUUUGUUCCAUUGUGUUCGGCAGUCAGCUAAAGCACUGCAGUAGUGCGUUAGCUUAAAGUAGUGCGUUAGCUUAAAGAGCACAGUUUACCAGCGCAUGUUGCCACUGAUUGAAACAAAUCCACCCAAAGGGGGCCAACCCGGCGUGUUCUUUGACUGGAACUUGACUGCUCCAAACCAGUACAUCCUUGGAGACAUCACACCACGCUGAGAACCUUUCUGUUUAAGGUGAAAUCAUGGCGGACGACCCUCAGAGAAACUUUCGCUCCGCUUAUUAUGAGAAAGUUGGCUUUCGAGGGGUGGAGGAGAAGAAAUCUUUAGAAAUACUACUCAAGGAUAAUCCUCUGGAUCUUGAAAAGCUGAGCACCUUCAGUCAGAGAUUUCCCCUCCCAUCCAUGUAUAGGGUUCAUGUCUGGAAGGUCUUGUUAGGAAUCUUGCCGCCCCACAGCGACUCUCAUACUCUGGUUGGAAGCUACAGAAAGGAGCAGUAUGAGGACAUCCUGAAGGCUCUGGAGGUGAUGAGAUACAUCAACUCCUCCACAUCUUCCACCCUUGUGUACCUGCGUAUGUUCCAGCUGGAGAGCCAGGUGCUCCCGCGCUGUUCUGAAACCUUACCACCGGAUGAGGAAAACAAGGAUUUCCUGUGGAUCAGUCGAGCAAUGGAGGAGAUUGUAGAGGACCCAUGUGACUGCUACUGGCUCAUAAAAUGUUUUAUCAGUCAGUUCCAUACCAAGUUUGGAGACUCAGUUCCACAUCUUCCAAAGAGCCUGGAGCACUACUUGAGUCAGGAGGAGCCUCAGCUGCUCAGCCAUUUGAAGAGCAGUGGUGCCUUGGCACAACUUCCAUACAGCCUGUGGUUCAAGCGAUGCUUUGCUGGCUGCUUGCCUGAGUCAAGCUUGCAGCGAGUGUGGGACAAGGUGAUCAGUGGCUCCUGUAAGAUCCUGGUGUUUGUAGCCCUGGAAAUACUACUCAGCUAUAAAAUUAUUCUGCUGGGAAUCAGCCGACCAGAGGGCGUGGCCAAGUUUCUGUGUGAUAUGCCGCAGGAGAACACGGAUGCAAUUGUGACUAAAGCAAUUGAUCUAUGGCACAAAUAUUGUGGCACCCCAAUGCAUGCCAUGUAACCUGUGAGGAAUUCCGAUUAUUGCCUUCCCAUGAUGCAACAGCAAUUCACUUGACUCUGAUAAGAAGCUCCCAACUGGACAGUUCAUGACUGCACAAAAACUGUUGGAUAAAAUGAGGAAUCAUUUUAACGGACUUGAACAUUGGGAGCGACUUCAGAAGAAGACAUGUCUCAUAGAGCGCAUCCAAAGUCACCUACGUUUCAGGAUGUUCCUCUGUUCCAGUUCCUCUGCAGUUGGACGUUGACUCAGUCGUCUGAAAAAAGUACAUUUGUAUUUGAGGUCCAAGGAAGUUGUUGUUGUUUUCAUGGAUAACCUAACUGACGAAGAGCACUGAAUAAGGCAAUGAGGCAAUGUGAUUGGAUCACCUUAACCCAGCGGUUCUCAAUUACUUUCUGUAAAACCGACGUAAGCAUGUGGAGAACAUGCAAACUCCACGCUGAGGUGCCCAAGCGGAGAUUCUAACUUGUUGAUAGUGUCCCCACCUGGUGAGUUUGGUUGCGGUUUGCUGCCUGGACUCAAAUCUCUCCUGAUCUGACUGCAGUGGUAGAAUGUUCUUCUCCUCCAGCUCUCUCUUUGAUGGACGGUUACUCAGUUUGAUGGCCAGAGAGUCUUUUCGUAACACCUUCAGGGCCAGUGUGCCUACAUUGAAAAUAUUGUUAAUUAGAAAUGAAGGCCAUAUGCUAUUGUGAAAUAUAAUGAAUAUUGUAUCCUAAGUCAUCUGUUAUUUGAUAUAUUAAUUUAGUGUUUAUUAGUCACUGUUUACAGACUUGUAUUACCUGUACUGCAGCAAGCCACUAAAGUUCAGAGUCUUGCAAAGGUCCAAUUUUACAACAACCUCAUCCAUUAAUAAUCAAUGGAUGUGGCUUGUGGGCCACAAGUUGACGUAGACUUUUCAACACAAUUACCUUGCACCGUUUUAGAGGUACAAACUUGGUGACUUGUUUAAUUAAA
RNA transcript from Doryrhamphus excisus (bluestripe pipefish), 2381 nucleotides. It is a transcript of the gene named TBC1 domain family, member 7, with no coding region annotated. NCBI's taxonomy places the organism in Eukaryota, Metazoa, Chordata, Actinopteri, Syngnathiformes, Syngnathidae. The record is from RefSeq and is a predicted model, not a curated record.